UACGGAGGGAGCUAGCGUUGUUCGGAAUUACUGGGCGUAAAGCGCGCGUAGGCGGCUUUGUAAGUUAGAGGUGAAAGCCCGGGGCUCAACCCCGGAACAGCCUUUAAGACUGCAUCGCUAGAAUCCGGGAGAGGUGAGUGGAAUUCCGAGUGUAGAGGUGAAAUUCGUAGAUAUUCGGAAGAACACCAGUGGCGAAGGCGGCUCACUGGACCGGUAUUGACGCUGAGGUGCGAAAGCGUGGGGAGCAAACAGG
RNAcentral lists this ribosomal RNA (253 nucleotides) under uncultured bacterium. Its description in RNAcentral is "partial 16S ribosomal RNA". It matches the Rfam family "Bacterial small subunit ribosomal RNA", at positions 524 to 776 of the family's 1533-position model. The record is from RNAcentral.